UGGGGAAUUGUUCGCAAUGGGCGCAAGCCUGACGACGCAACGCCGCGUGGAGGAUGAAGGUCUUCGGAUUGUAAACUCCUGUUGAUCGGGACGAAAAGCCUCAACCUAAUACGUUGGGGACUGACGGUACCGGUUGAGGAAGCCACGGCUAACUCUGUGCCAGCAGCCGCGGUAAUACAGAGGUGGCAAGCGUUGUUCGGAAUUACUGGGCGUAAAGGGCGCGUAGGCGGCCUUCUAAGUCGGACGUGAAAGCCCCAGGCUUAACCUGGGAACUGCGUCCGAUACUGGGAGGCUUGGAUUCGGGAGAGGGAUGUGGAAUUCCAGGUGUAGCGGUGAAAUGCGUAGAUAUCUGGAGGAACACCGGUGGCGAAGGCGGCAUCCUGGACCGAGAUCGACGCUGAGGCGCGAAAGCUAGGGGAGCAAACG
Molecule: ribosomal RNA, 426 nt
Filed under: uncultured bacterium
Lineage: Bacteria
Description: bacterial SSU rRNA
Rfam family: Bacterial small subunit ribosomal RNA
Source: RNAcentral